Molecule: transfer RNA, 75 nt
Filed under: Verrucomicrobiota bacterium
Lineage: Bacteria; Pseudomonadati; Verrucomicrobiota
Also listed under: 2 other names
Description: tRNA-Thr
Rfam family: tRNA
About the family: Transfer RNA (tRNA) molecules are approximately 80 nucleotides in length. Their secondary structure includes four short double-helical elements and three loops (D, anti-codon, and T loops).
Source: RNAcentral
GCCGAUGUAGCUCAGUGGUAGAGCAACGGUUUCGUAAACCGUAGGUCGUGGGUUCAAUCCCCACCAUCGGCUCCA